This 1597-nucleotide ribosomal RNA is filed under the name Plasmodium cf. inui. RNAcentral describes it as "SSU rRNA". It matches the Rfam family "Eukaryotic small subunit ribosomal RNA", at positions 61 to 1439 of the family's 1831-position model. The record is from RNAcentral. Lineage: Eukaryota; Apicomplexa; Aconoidasida; Haemosporida; Plasmodiidae.
AAGUAUAUGCAUAUUUUAUAUGUAGAAACUGCGAACGGCUCAUUAAAACAGUUAUAAUCUACUUGACAUUUUUUCUAUAAGGAUAACUACGGAAAAGCUGUAGCUAAUACUUGCUUUAGCACUCUUGAUUAAGUUCUUGAGUGUGUACUUGUUAAGCCUUUUAAGAAAAAAGUUAUUAACUUAAGGAAUUAUAACAAAGAAGCAACACGUAAAUGGAUUUUCCAUUUUUUAGUGUGUAUCAAUCGAGUUUCUGACCUAUCAGCUUUUGAUGUUAGGGUAUUGGCCUAACAUGGCUAUGACGGGUAACGGGGAAUUAGAGUUCGAUUCCGGAGAGGGAGCCUGAGAAAUAGCUACCACAUCUAAGGAAGGCAGCAGGCGCGUAAAUUACCCAAUUCUAAAGAAGAGAGGUAGUGACAAGAAAUAACAAUACAAGGCCAAUCUGGCUUUGUAAUUGGAAUGAUGGGAAUUUAAAACCUUCCCAAAACUCAAUUGGAGGGCAAGUCUGGUGCCAGCAGCCGCGGUAAUUCCAGCUCCAAUAGCGUAUAUUAAAAUUGUUGCAGUUAAAACGCUCGUAGUUGAAUUUCAAAGAAUCGAUAUUUUAAGUAGCACUUUGUAGAUUAAUCCACAUAACUGAUACUACGUAUCGACUUUGUGCGCAUUUUUCUACUUAUGUGUUCUUUUAAUUAAAAUGAUUCUUUUUAAGAUCUUUCUUUUUUGCUUCGGCAUUUUAGGAGAUCUUGUUACUUUGAGUAAAUUAGAGUGUUCAAAGCAAACAGAUUAUAGCAUCUUUAUGCGUUUGAAUACUACAGCAUGGAAUAACAAAAUUGAACAAGUCAGAAUUUUGUUCUUUUUUCUUAUUUUGGCUUAGUUACGAUUAAUAGGAGUAGCUUGGGGGCAUUUGUAUUCAGAUGUCAGAGGUGAAAUUCUUAGAUUUUCUGGAGACAAACAACUGCGAAAGCAUUUGCCUAAAAUACUUCCAUUAAUCAAGAACGAAAGUUAAGGGAGUGAAGACGAUCAGAUACCGUCGUAAUCUUAACCAUAAACUAUGCCGACUAGGCUUUGGAUGAAAGAUUUUAAAAUAAGAGUUUUUCUCUUCGGAGUUAAUUCUUAGAUUGCUUCCUUCAGUGCCUUAUGAGAAAUCAAAGUCUUUGGGUUCUGGGGCGAGUAUUCGCGCAAGCGAGAAAGUUAAAAGAAUUGACGGAAGGGCACCACCAGGCGUGGAGCUUGCGGCUUAAUUUGACUCAACACGGGAAAACUCACUAGUUUAAGACAAGAGUAGGAUUGACAGAUUAAUAGCUCUUUCUUGAUUUCUUGGAUGGUGAUGCAUGGCCGUUUUUAGUUCGUGAAUAUGAUUUGUCUGGUUAAUUCCGAUAACGAACGAGAUCUUAACCUGCUAAUUAGCGGCAAAUACGAUAUAUUCUUUUGUGGAAUUGAAUAUGGUGGAUUUGUUAAAUUUUGAAGAAAAUAUUGGAAUUACUAACCGUUUUUCCUUUCCCUUUUCUACUUAAUUUACUUAUCCUACUAUUUCUUUUUUGCAUUUGAAUGUAUUUGCUUGAUUGUAAAGCUUCUUAGAGGAACGAUGUGUGUCUAACACAAG